AUGCGCUGUGAGUCCUCCUUCUCUUCUACCUUUUCGAUGAAACCACGUUUUUUCUGCUUUGUACAGGAUGAAAAUUCUUUGAUGUUCUGUUUUUCCGUGUUAAGUUUGUCGUUUUCUUGUAUACCAAGGGACUUCAAUUUCCAAAAUCUCUCAAUAUCGUAGUCCUCUUUUGUGUGACUAGAUAAUAUAUGCAUCAUGUGUGAAUCGCGUUGUACUCUUGUACAUGUAAGUGGUCCAGAUAACAAAUAUCCUAUUUUUGAGCUCAUCGCUGUCGGUCCGUCGCCUCGAACGAUAUCAUCCUUGAUUGCAUCCCAGUAAUGGUCUGCUCCAAUGAGUAAAGAAAUAUCAAAGCUGUUAUCCUCUGAUAACGGGUGGGCUAGUUUUAGUCCUUUCAAAUAAUGUAGUUGCUGCGAAAUGUACCUGCGGUUAUUCUGAAUCGGCGCUGCUAUGGGUAGGUACAAUCAAUACCUGUAAAGGUAUUUUCUCUCCUGAGUCGCUGCUUCUAAAAACACUGUGGCUUUAUUCAUGUGACGAACAUUCUUGUCAGAAUUUCCGAAGGCGGAUAUGUUGAGGGUUUCCUUUCCGUCUGGCUUGACGUUCAACUUGUCGGCUAUUUCCUGCGUCAUAAAUGAUCGUUGUGCUCCUUCGUCGAAAAGGAUGUGAGCGUCGGCGCACUGAUUCUGUGACCAUAUUGGGGCUAUUGCUGUUUUCAAAAAGACGGUCGAAUUUUCCUGUUUAGCAGAUGUAUGCAUGAUUGGCGUGCCUGUUUUCUGUAUUACUUGUAAUAUUCUGACUCUGUGAAUUUUGAACUGAAGUUUCAUUGCAUAAACUAGUGUGGUGCUUACGUUUGACAUUUACGGCAUGUGUUUUUCGACCUACAUUCUGAUAUUUCUAUGGUUACCUAAACAAUUGAAACAUAGGUUUCUCUUCUUAACAAUCUCCAUUCUUGAUUUGCUGUCGGUGAACUUUUUACAGUUCUGCAGGGAAAUGUUGAUCAUUGCAAUAAAGUGCACAUUUUACUUUGAGAAUAGUUUAUAGAUUUUGAUUUAUU
This 1051-nucleotide long non-coding RNA is filed under the name Mytilus galloprovincialis (Mediterranean mussel). Lineage: Eukaryota; Metazoa; Mollusca; Bivalvia; Mytilida; Mytilidae. The record is from RNAcentral.